GAUGAAGAACGUAGCGAAAUGCGAUAUGUAGUGUGAAUUGCAGAGGUAUGUGAAUCAUCGAAUCUUUGAACGCAAAUUGCACUCUUCGGUAUUCCGAGGAGUAUGCCUGUUUGAGGGUCGCUUAACAAACAUCGAUUUCAUUGCUUUUUUUUUUAAAGUAAUGUUUAUCGGAUUUGAGCCGUCUUUUUUUUUUAUAUUAAAGUGGCUUAAAAUUGAUUAUUCUGGUAUGAUCCAAGCGUAUUUUAUGAUCAAUUUUUGGUUAAAGAAACGCAUACGUACCAUCAUUCAUAUGAUGUAAUACGUUUGACUAUUGGAUUAGUUCAUUCGUAUACGAUAUUUUUCAAAUUUUGACCUCAAAUCAGGUAAGAACACCCGCUGAACUUAAGCAUAUCAAUAAGCGGAGGA
RNAcentral lists this unclassified non-coding RNA (405 nucleotides) under soil metagenome. Its description in RNAcentral is "partial contains 5.8S ribosomal RNA, internal transcribed spacer 2, and large subunit ribosomal RNA". The stretch from base 1 to 120 matches the Rfam family "5.8S ribosomal RNA", at positions 35 to 154 of the family's 154-position model. The record is from RNAcentral.